UAGCCCCUCCCCCGACGACCCCCUCACCUGACUGUGCUACUCUCGGGACGGAGACCCGCCCCGGCUGCACCAGACCAGGUAGGCUCCUUGACCAGCCCCCAAGGCUGCUCGUAAUUACCGAGGGGGCCCCACUUCAGAUGCGCCCCGAUGAGGCCUCUGGUGCCGGGAGAGGGGGUACAGAGUUUCCCACUCAGAGCCGCAGGACGCCAGUGAGGUCUGGCGGUGCUGGGGAUCCCGCCUGCGGUCGCUGUCCCCGGAGGCCAGGACCCAACCGGCAGGUCCCGGCUGACCGAGGUCUGGCCUCAGGACCCCCGCUUCCCCUCGAGGACGAAAUCCAGACUCUCUGCCGCGAGGGCUUUCUCGACUUUGUAGAUCAAGGUCAGGCACCUGAACCUUGGAGCAUAGACCUCAAAGUCCCGACAUCUGAUGACACUUAGUGGAUCUAAAGCAAUGUUUCCAGCCUUUUCAGCUAGAAGCGUACUAUGAACUUUCAAGGACUCACCAAGAGGCAUUCUCAUGUCCAUCCAGUAAUCCAGCCAUGUCUUCAUCUCGUCUCUAAUCCCUACCCACUUAGUGUGUGGUUUCUGGAACAUCCCAAUCUUUUUGUGCUUUUUUUUUUUAUAAUUCUGAAAGUUUCAUAACUUAGGUUGUUGAAAGAAUAGAAAGAACCUGAAAAACACAUUGAAAGUUCACAUAGCUUUCUUUUUAGAGCUGAUGACUUUAAAUUCUGCAAACCAUAAAGAAGUUUAUCUUCUUGUCCACAGUAGUCAUUUUUCACUCGUUGCAGGACUAAAUUAGAAAACUUUGAGAGCAGUUGUACAAUGUAUUUGGCCUACAUUUUAGCAAAUGUAUUUAAUCAUACUCUUUUAUAUAAUUUUUAAGUUGUUGCUUUGUCACCUUAACAUUAUUUAAGUAUUUAGUCAGGGACAAGGGCACGACUUUUUUUGUAACUAUUCUAGUACUUAGUGCUAUGCUAGGCAGCUAGUGAUAUAAAAAAAUUUUUAAAGAAUGUAUCAUUGGACGUAACUCAUUGAUCAUCUACUAUGUGUAAACCACAGUGCUAAGCUCCAUGGUGACACAAAGAUGAAGAGGAAUGAGGACCUCACCGAAGGUUGUUGAUUUGCCCAAGUUUGUUUAGCUAAUAAGCCAUGGUACAUUGUCUCAAGCCUUGUCUUCUUAUUGAGGAGAUGCCAGGGACAGACUCCAGGUAACUGGCUGUGUACAGGCUGGACCAGAGUCUGCACUUGGAGGUGAUGAUCAAAACCCUUGAAAUGGAAGAGAUCACAAGGGAGAGCCCACAACCAGUAUUUAGAAACACUUUCACUCACUAUCCCUUUGCAGUAAAUAAAACAAUACAAAAGGACAAAAGAGAGUGCAGAAAGCUAGAAAGCACAGUAAAGCAAUUAAACCACUUGGGAAGAACCUGCCACAAGCUUGAUUUUCUUAAGUGCACGAUGAAGCAGCUAGCUGAGGAAGCUUGGCCAGACAAUAAAAUGCCCUUUGGGAGAUGAGAAGAAGGAAAUAGGGUUUAGUGCAUACAAAUCGUGGAAGGGGAGAUAAGAAAGUGAGGUAGACAAUUAGAGAAGUAUAUGGGAAAACAAGGCAAGAGGAGACUGAAAUAGAUGGACAAGCUGGUGGGAGGGAAAAAAGCAUUAGGGCGGGGAGGGCAGGGUGGGUGGAAUGUUUUGGAUUAAUAUCGCUCAUUCAUUUCUCCCCUUCCUAAUUCCCUCCUUUUUUUCCUUCCAUUUUAAUCUAUUUUAUGCCAGGCAAUGAGCCAGGCUCAAAGAUACAAACAAGCUACUCUGAGAUGAUAAAUGAAAUAAAAAAUACAGCAGUCCGGUGCCUCAGGUGGUUGGAGCACUGUGCUUCUAAUGCCGAGGGCCACCGGUUCGGUUCUCACAUGGGCCAGGGAGCUGCGCCCUACAACUAGACUGAGAAACAAUGGCUUAAAAACCGGGGCAGGGGCAAAAAAAAUAAAAAGAAAUACAAAUACAAUUUUUGUCAACGGGGUACCAGCCUCUACUUGAAUACCUAAAAUGCUUUGGG
This is a long non-coding RNA of Rhinolophus ferrumequinum (greater horseshoe bat), 2046 nucleotides long. The record is from Ensembl. NCBI's taxonomy places the organism in Eukaryota, Metazoa, Chordata, Mammalia, Chiroptera, Rhinolophidae.